Molecule: ribosomal RNA, 394 nt
Filed under: uncultured bacterium
Lineage: Bacteria
Description: partial 16S ribosomal RNA
Rfam family: Bacterial small subunit ribosomal RNA
Source: RNAcentral
AUACGGAGGAUGCAAGCGUUAUCCGGAUUUAUUGGGUUUAAAGGGUGCGUAGGCGGAUGAUUAAGCGUGAGGUGAAAUGCCACUGCUCAACAGUGGAACUGCCUCGCAAACUGGUUGUCUUGAAUGCUCCUGCCGUGGGAGGAAUGUGUGGUGUAGCGGUGAAAUGCAUAGAGAUCACACAGAACACCGAUUGCGAAGGCAUCUCACGAAGGGGUGAUUGACGCUGAGGCACGAAAGCGUGGGGAUCAAACAGGAUUAGAUACCCUGGUAGUCCACGCAGUAAACGAUGAUAACUAACCGCUGGGUCGUAGUGAUUCAGUGGCCAAGCGAAAGCGAUAAGUUAUCCACCUGGGGAGUACGACCGCAAGGUUGAAACUCAAAUGAAUUGACGGGG